UAUGUAUAUUGGUGUGAAAGAGGUAGAACAAUGCAAUUCCAGGAUAAUGCUUCCUUUAGUUUUGCUUAAACAGUGAAGGCAAACUAAGUUUCUCCCAUCUUCAGUCAGUAUGUGAUUCAGGAAAUGCCUGCAUUUUGCCUUGUAUAGAAUUGUACCGUGCUGGUCAUAAUUUCUGAGCUAGUAAUUUUUUUUUUUUUAAUUCUUCAACCCACUUGGCAUUUAAGGGAGACAGCACUAAAAAGGUUAGAAAACAGUUUGUGGGGGAGCAAGAAUAAUUGAAUCCCUGUUCUUUGCUGCCAUGAAUACAGCUUUGCACCAUGAAUAGUGUCAGAUUUCUUAAGCAUAUUGUAGGCACUUCCAAACAAUCAUGCCUUUAGCCUACAUUCUAACAUCCACAAUUGUUAAAACCUUCAGACCAGUUUCCUCUCAGAAAAAGACAGCAUUAUGGUUUGUAACAACAAGAAAAGUCUCCAAUUUCAAGCAUAGCCAGGAGGAAAUAUCAAACUGAAUUUAUUUGGAGGAGGAAAUAGAGUUAGGGAGUAACAAUGACUUUCUCCAGGAUAUAUUCAUGCACUAACAAGCCAGCUUUAAUUCAAAUGUAAACAUCUAUAAGCUUUUGUUUUACAAACCCAGUAUAAUUUUUUUUUUCCUGCAGCUAUGCCUGCUGGCAAAUACUGAUAGACUGGAAAAAAUACUGAGAUGAAAAGUCACCCUAAACACAGGGUUCACACUAGUAGACACUUGGUUUGAGUUAUGCCGCUGUUCAUAACUAUUAUACUGCUGCUAUUAUGUUGCUCUGUUACAUCCUGAUACUAUUCUUCUUGGAGUCAGAUAUGGGAGCAGGAGGGGAGAAUUAUUUUCAGAGUGCUUGUAUCCCUUGUGGUGAUGUUGGGGGAGAAUAGUGGUCUGCAAGAGGCAUUGGACUGAAGUAAAAGAACUUCUGUAGCUUCAGUUAUGUAUGUUCAAAAACACUGAAGGGUAAUUAAAUGUGCAUAAUACAGGUAACUUUGUGGAUGAAAACAAGCAUUUGACAAGUAUGUUCAGUAGCACAUGUUAGAUCUUUUCCGUAGUGGUCAGCAAGAUACUUACAUUUCUGUGGAGGCACCCAACAAGAUUAGAAACUGCUGUAUUCUGUAGUUACCAUCUUCACAUUUUGCCCCUACAGUCUGCCAUGUUUAGCUCCUUUAAAUUAUGCUCAAAGCUGUCAUACACUGUUCCUGUGGCAGUUAAUUUCAACAUAUUUCUGCUGUAAGAAUGGAGCACUAAGGUCCCCUAUAGUCUCACUGUAAUUAGAUGGCUUACCCCUCCUAUCUGUUACAAAGUAUAUUUUAAAUACAGUGUGACUAACAGACUGAAUUUGCCAUCGAGUUUUUUAAUCUUGUAAUUGUGAAGACAGAGGCUAUUAGUAGCGAGAAUUGGAUGGCGCUGUACAGAUUAAAAUAAUCCCAGUUAUUCAAAAUGCUUUAUUAAAAUUGCACAGUAACAAGAUACAGUCACAGACCUGCAGAUAACCUUUCUGUUCUGAAGUAUUUCACUUGGAGGUAAGUCCUGUUUGCUGUGAAACGCAAAUGGCCAUGAGCAGUUAGCUCUAUAAAAACAUGCAGGGGAGCUACACUAGUUGCAGAUGCCAAAUGUUGUCUUUAGCAACUGUUGCCCUGUCAACAUAUGCAACUUCACUCUGCCCACAUCUUUAUAUCAAAUUUUUUUCAUCCACCUUUUGGCAUUGUGCUAACAUGUACUCUAUUGUUUUUAGAGAGGGGAGAAAUACAACUGAGAAGACUCACUUAAGUGUGCAGGGGAAGAUACUGGCAAAUUUGAUGUUAGCUGUUAGGUAUGUGUUAGACUCUAGUCUGUGCUUCUUAACUAAGAUUUCCCAGUGAAGUCUGCUCUUUACCAGUAUAGAACAGGAGUUGCACCAUCUAAGACCACUGGGUUUGCCUUCCCCACAUCUGACACAAAUUCUGGGGACCAAGAAAAGUUUUUCUCAUUAAGAAGUGGCUCUCAAAGCUAAUUAAUACAGCAGACUGACUAUCUAUUGAAUGUAGCUGUAUUUCUUGAGCAGGCAAUCUUAGCUCACUUAAAGGAGAAAAUCCACCCAGUCAGGAAUGUUGCUCACCAAGUGUGACAACUGACAAUUGGUAAAGUGAAUGAGAGGCUUAGGUUCACAGGUGCCUCCGACCUGACCUACCUUCAGCCAGACUAUGAUUACUUAAAGAGAAAUAACACCCCAAUCUUUGUACUUUCUAAAGGCAGCUCAGUUUUGGUUCAAACAGAGGGAGUGGCUAUGGAAAGUUGGCCUAAGGAACAGAAGCGUUUGUUUUCCAAACUUUUUAAAAAAAAAAAAACUCCUGCAAGUUUGUUUCGAUACCAAGAUAAUUGUUCACUACUUGAAAGAACUAUGGGUACAUUAGGAAGAAAAAAGGCUGUUUCCUGAAACGCAGAACGUGAGGUAACCAUGCAGAGACCUACCAGUGCUACAAUUAUAUGUACAGUCUUUUACAGCCAUUGUGUUUAAAUCACUAUUGCCAAGUGCUAUAGCUUAAUGCAAGACCUUUUGCUUCCCACCCUCUCCAAAAUUGUGGAAGAUGACUCAUGCUUGGUUAACAGGAGAGAAAUCAAGAACAUGCUAGAAGUGAUGCUUUAAGGAACUACUGGGAACAAGUAAAUGCAGGCAGGGGCUGGGUUGUACUGAAACCGUGUCUUGGUGGCAAGUAAAUCUUCGUGUCAUACAGUGGUGGGAAACUAUGGGGGUAGAGGCUGAUGCAGUAGUUCUACAAAUUAAGUCCACCCUUUCCUGUGAAAAAUGGGAUAGCACUGUUUAGAGGAUGGGAGGGUAUUAAGCAGAAGGAAUAGAGCAGGUGGGACAGUAGUUCUUUAAGGGAAGAUGAUACACAGGAAAAACAGGACAAUACAUUUGGAUCUGAGCACUCUGAUUGUGAAUGUAAGGCUUCUCUGAAUCGUUAAAAACAAGGCUGGUCAUCCUUUGAGAUUUCCUAAUGGAGUGAUUAUCUUAACUAAAGAGGGUCAACUUAUUAAAAGACAAUAAUAAUGUGUCUUUCUAGAGCACAUGAAUCAUUUAAUUUUUCCAGUUUUUAACUAGUUUUCCAUUGAUUUCCAGUAAGACGGAUAUCUCAAAUGAGCAUAAAUGUGUUGGGCACUUACUUACGUGCCAUUUAAAUUCAGUUGGCUCUGAGUAUGUAGUUCCCUUGGGUCCUUUGAAAAGCCAAGAUUCUGUUGGUGUUACAUUGCCUAACUCCUGGGUUUUAGGGUUGGGUUGUGUUUUUUUCCGCCUUUGAACAUGCUAAAAUCUCCCUAAUGGAGUAAUAACUCAGUGAAAGCUAAAUCCCACCACUGGCUGAGGAACACAGAGACCUACAAAAACAAUGGUGAGGUGGGGGCUUGGGGUGGAAUUGUUUGUUUACGACAAAGCUGUGUAUUGCCCUGAUCCUGUAUCAGUGAAGUUGGUUGAAUUCUCAUUACUGGUUUUGUACUGGUAUACGUAAGGGAAAUAAUACCAUUAGCAAGAUGUUUUAAUACUUUGCAUCCAAAUUUAAUAUUUUUAAUCUGUUGCAACUGUUGUCUCCAUUUCAUUUCCCUUGUUCAGUUCUCCUCCACUGUUUUGGUUCCUCCCCACUUCUGUUACAUUUUUGUCCUCUUCCAAAAGCAGAACAAAACCCCUCUUUCCUUUGACGUUUUCUCCCCCUUCCCCCUUAUCUAUUCCUCCCGCAACUGACUCAGUUUAGCAGAGAGGUGACCAAAGCUGCGCAUUGAGCUGUGCCUUUACUCGCUGGGGAAUGCCAAACCUGCACUGGCAAGAGAAGUUCAGCUUUUGAGAUCCUUUUCAGGACUGACUGCUGCUUUUGCAUUUUGAAGUUUGUGGAAAUCACGGUUAACCUUCUGGUGCUGAUUUGUGUGGGCGCUGCCCAAGCCUCUGUUGCAGGCUUCACGUCCCUUGGUGGCUUCGGCACUGGAUCCUUUAGCCUGAAUUCGGCCU
RNA transcript from Harpia harpyja (harpy eagle), 3994 nucleotides. It is a transcript of the gene named MARVEL domain-containing protein 3-like, with no coding region annotated. Lineage: Eukaryota; Metazoa; Chordata; Aves; Accipitriformes; Accipitridae. The record is from RefSeq and is a predicted model, not a curated record. The transcript is spliced from 2 exons.